This 308-nucleotide ribosomal RNA is filed under the name uncultured bacterium. RNAcentral describes it as "partial 16S ribosomal RNA". It matches the Rfam family "Bacterial small subunit ribosomal RNA", at positions 505 to 807 of the family's 1533-position model. The record is from RNAcentral.
GAGACAGCAGCAGCCACGGGAAUACGGAGGGUGCAAGCGUUAAUCGGAAUUACUGGGCGUAAAGCGCACGCAGGCGGUCUGACAAGUCAGAUGUGAAAUCCCCGGGCUUAACCUGGGAACUGCAUUUGAAACUGUCAGGCUGGAGUCUUGUAGAGGGGGGUAGAAUUUCAGGUGUAGCGGUGAAAUGCGUAGAGAUCUGGAGGAAUACCGGUGGCGAAGGCGGCCCCCUGGACAAAGACUGACGCUCAGGUGCGAAAGCGUGGGGAGCAAACAGGAUUAGAUACCCCUGUAGUCCCUGUCUCUUAUAC